AUUGAACGCUGGCGGCAGGCCUAACACAUGCAAGUCGAACGGUAACAGGAAGAAGCUUGCUUCUUUGCUGACGAGUGGCGGACGGGUGAGUAAUGUCUGGGAAACUGCCUGAUGGAGGGGGAUAACUACUGGAAACGGUAGCUAAUACCGCAUAACGUCGCAAGCCCAAAGAGGGGGACCUUCGGGCCUCUUGCCAUCGGAUGUGCCCAGAUGGGAUUAGCUAGUAGGUGGGGUAACGGCUCACCUAGGCGACGAUCUCUAGCUGGUCUGAGAGGAUGACCAGCCACACUGGAACUGAGACACGGUCCAGACUCCUACGGGAGGCAGCAGUGGGGAAUAUUGCACAAUGGGCGCAAGCCUGAUGCAGCCAUGCCGCGUGUAUGAAGAAGGCCUUCGGGUUGUAAAGUACUUUCAGCGGGGAGGAAGGGAGUAAAGUUAAUACCUUUGCUCAUUGACGUUACCCGCAGAAGAAGCACCGGCUAACUCCGUG
This 490-nucleotide ribosomal RNA is filed under the name uncultured bacterium. Its description in RNAcentral is "partial 16S ribosomal RNA". It matches the Rfam family "Bacterial small subunit ribosomal RNA", at positions 30 to 507 of the family's 1533-position model. The record is from RNAcentral.